GGGGAGCUCUGCUAGCUUGGUAGGCUUCGGCCUUCGGGAGGCCGCGACCCGUGUUCAAAUCACGGGCUCCCCG
This 73-nucleotide transfer RNA is filed under the name Microcaldota archaeon. RNAcentral's name for it is "tRNA-Pro". Lineage: Archaea; Nanobdellati; Microcaldota. The record is from RNAcentral.